UGUUGCAUGUGAUACCCUUCAAGUUUAUCAUAUUAGGUGUUUUAUUAACCCUCGAAGACCAUGCAUACCUAAAUUAUUGCUUGCAUUUGGUUUUACCGACAUACGAUUAUUUCCUAUCUUAAUUUUCCUAUCUGACUUAAUUUUCUUCCCAUUAGAGUUUUUGCAAGUUUCGCGGCUACUUCAGAUAGAUACUAAUUUUAGUUCUCUUUAUUUUGCAUAUAAAAUAUCUCCGAGUUUGUCAUGAACUCCUCUCUCGCAUUCUUGAGAGUCGUAAAGGCUCAACAUCCCUUUGUCUGAGUCAAGCCCCCUCCAAAAUUGACGUUACAGGCUCCGGAGUUUAAAGAAUUGAAGUGGAAGAAGAGGAAGAGAUUAAGCCUUGAAAACCCAAAUUUUAUUUUCAGAAAUUUGUAUUCCGUUGUUGUAGGACCUAAUCUCAUGUAAUUAUUUUAUUUCGUUGCAUCUUUAGAAGAGGACAUGUACAAGGAAAUUGGGCCUAAAAUCCCAAAACAAUGAAAUGGGCUAAAAAACCAAAAUCAAAAUGGGUCCAAAUACCGAUCCAAGCGAACAGAUAAUCCG
RNAcentral lists this unclassified non-coding RNA (576 nucleotides) under Hevea brasiliensis (rubber tree). The record is from RNAcentral. Lineage: Eukaryota; Viridiplantae; Streptophyta; Magnoliopsida; Malpighiales; Euphorbiaceae.